This 282-nucleotide long non-coding RNA is filed under the name Homo sapiens (human). Its description in RNAcentral is "HSALNT0176689". The record is from RNAcentral. Lineage: Eukaryota; Metazoa; Chordata; Mammalia; Primates; Hominidae.
UGGACGGAGAGGAGAGAGUUGUGUUCCUGAGGGGUCGCUACGUGGAGGAAGGGCUACCGCCUGCCAGUACGUGCAAGGUGUUAGUGGAGAGCAAACUUCGAGGACGUACCCUGGAGGAGGUGGUCAUGGCAGAGGAGGAAGAUGAGGGCACGGACAGACCUGGGUCCCCAGCCUGAGGAGGGAGCGUGAGCCUCCCAGAGCCCCAGGACUGGGCCAGAGCACUUAGGUUUCUUUUUCCAUGGUUUCCAGGUAAUAAAAGGAACUUGUUUUGUUGGUACCAGU